Molecule: non-coding RNA, 150 nt
Organism: Fukomys damarensis (Damara mole-rat)
Lineage: Eukaryota; Metazoa; Chordata; Mammalia; Rodentia; Bathyergidae
Source: Rfam
AUACCCUUUUCAGGUUGAUACAGUGCCUUAAGAGGCUAACACAGGAAGAUAAAGGAAGCUUCUGUAAAACCCAAAGGUGUAUCUGUCACUGCAAAAUGGAACUUUAAAAGUUAGGAUUGGUUUGGUUUGGUUUGGUUUUCCUUCAGAAAA